Molecule: ribosomal RNA, 257 nt
Filed under: uncultured Glomeromycotina
Lineage: Eukaryota; Fungi; Glomeromycota
Description: partial 18S ribosomal RNA
Rfam family: Eukaryotic small subunit ribosomal RNA
Source: RNAcentral
AAGCUCGUAGUUGAAUUUCGGGGUUCUACCGUCGGUCGGGCUACCAAGUCUGUACUGGUGUGUAGAAUUUCUACCUUCUGGGGAACCAUCAUGUUAUUAAUUUAGCGUGGUGGGAAACCAGGACCUUUACCUUGAAAAAAUUAGAGUGUUCAAAGCAGGCUUAUGUCUGAAUACAUUAACAUGGAAUAAUAGAAUAGGACGGUGGUCCUGUUUUGUUGGUUUCUGAGUCACCGUAAUGAUUAAUAGGGAUAGUUGGG